Molecule: long non-coding RNA, 5682 nt
Filed under: Taeniopygia guttata (zebra finch)
Lineage: Eukaryota; Metazoa; Chordata; Aves; Passeriformes; Estrildidae
Description: lncRNA (ENSTGUG00000019309.1)
Source: RNAcentral
AUCACGAGCCCUGUGAACAGGACACAAGCUCAGGGAAGGGUCUUUGUAGUUACUUGUAGUUUUUUUCUCUUGCUUGUGUCUGCCCUUCCCUUGGUGUGGCAUCGAAGACAUCCUGAGCAUGAUGCAAGUCAACCUUUGCAGCUCUGCACUUGCCUGCUGUUGCGACACCCAGAGAUGCACGUGGAAAAGCAGACGCUUCCUGCUACCAUCUGAGUUUGGGUGCGCACAUUUCCAAGUUUGGUUGCAGCUGGCUAUGCUGUGCCCUGCAUCAGCCUCCAGAGAGCCUGUGUCACAGGAGAGGAAACCUUUCAGCUGGAGAAGUCAGCCACUGUUCAAGCUUGACCCAGAUUCUGAGACCUUGGUCUCCUUCCUGUGCCACCUCUUGUCUGAGCUGAGGCCUCCUCCCACAUGGAGAAAGGAGCUCCAAAAAUCAAUGGUCAAUCUGUUCUUCUUCAACCCUUGUCGAUCCUUGCUAAGAGAGGGUGUGAGACAUCCCCCCCUACAAGUCAUGACUUAGGUGAACCACAGGAUCAUCUUUUCAUGAUGGCUUUAAAAAAGGAAGGCUUUACCUUCCUUUGCUUCAGCCUUUCAGUGAUCCUUUCAGAUCCCACAUGUGUUUGUGACCAUUCCUGAGCCCAAAGCUGGAAUUUCUAAAGUGCUACCAGCAGCAGCCCCAAGCAAAAUAAUGGAUGACUAAGAGCAGAAGGAAGCACUAUGUGCUCACAGAGUGGAGAACUGCAUGUGCAGACAGCUGCAGACUCCAAACUGUGAAUCCCUACUACCAGACUCUGAGCUCCUGAAGCUGAUUUUACCACUUCAAUAAUAAGGGAAAAUUAUGUGGAUUGGUAGCAGAAGAGUUAUAUGGUGAGUGGAGAGGAAUACAUCUCCAGAGCCACGUUACUGCUUCAGACACGGCUGCAGCAGGCGACAGCGCCCAGCUCUCCCAGCACAGACAGCUACAAUGAAUGACCCAAGAGGCCCUGGUAAAAAUUAAUUGAGUUAAUUAAUUGAGCAUCUGUGGCAUGGUUAUUUUCUCUGCGUGUCCUGGCUCUUAGUCCUCAUUUCUGAGGGGAGAAAGUGCCAUUGAAUCAAUUUAUUGGCAGUGCUGGUUCCCUGAGGCAGAGGUUGUCACCCUCAGUGUCCUGGAGGCUCUGAGAUGCUCAUUGCAGGUGCCUGAGCCUCACCUGGGACUGGGCACUGUUUGACCUUGUGGCAAGGUUUUCUAUAUGCAGAGAACAGGGAGAAGGAAAUAUUCUGGAGAGUUUCUAUGCUAAUGUUCACUGGAGAUGACAUUGUCUUCCCUCCAACUGCUGCGAGCCCAGGAUGGGACAUGCUGCUGAGGGCACCUGUAUGGGGUAGGGCAGGCUCAGUGCACAAUGUUCCUCAAGACCCUUUAAAAAUUAUGUAAACUCAGUUCUUCGAUUUCCUUUUGUUAUGUGCAGCAGGUCAGGUCCUGCUCUGGAAGUCACUGCGUUGUGGAUCAGCCACGUAGCUGAUGGAAACGCUGCUGCUGGCCCGUGGAAGAGUUUUAUUUUUCAGCCAACACAUACAGGAAAGAAUAAGGCUUUAUUUUCUUAGCCAUCACUUUUUGCAGCCUAUGUCAAGCUAACAAUGGCCGGGUAUUCCUCUGAGGUUGUAGAAUAAGUUCAUUCAUGCUCUUCUUUCCCUCUGUUGUAAGAAAAAUCUACUGAGCUUCUCUUAGCUUUUGAGGUGGAGUCUGUGGCAUGGCACCAGCAGCCAAGCACUGCUCUGGUCAAACAUUAAGGCAAUGCCCUUUGUGUUCCCUCAGCCACAUAGAUGCAGAGAAAGGGAAAUGUCAGUGGGAGCCUUUUGUUGGCUCCUCCUCACCAAGGGAGCCCCCGUCUCUCCCUCCUUGCUGCCUUUGCUUAGCUCUGUAUUUUCCACCAUGGACAGUGCAGGGAGUAGUGGCCACCUUCCCACGGAGUGAGAGCUGAAUCACUGCCCCACACUGAGCACAAGGGGCACCAGGGCUGCUGGAGAUGCUGCUCUGGAGAUGCUGGAAGCUCAGUCUGUAUUAGUGUGGGGAUGGAUGGGGGAUGUCACUUGGCACCUAGUGGUGGCCUGUUGUGGUGUGGCAUUGAGGUACAGCAGAAGCUGGGGAGGAGAUGAUAAAGUGACAUUUGUGUCUUUGGAAAGAGAGGCAGCCAAAGAUUCACCUGACUCCCUGAGAGGGGGCUUGGUGGAGGAGUCUGGAUGCUAUCCCAAAACUGGUUUCAAGAGACGAGUGAUGGCCAUAUUGCCAGCAUGGCUGUGGGACAAGGGCAGCAGCACUGCUGUAAACAGCUUUACCUGCCAGGAGCACAGUGCUUUAGGAAGUAUGGCCAAGCAUUGGGAAAACCUUGCAGGACUUUCAGGGAAAAUGUUGUUGAGAAUGUGACCAUCCUGGAGAGCCCCAGGGACAGCAGUUGUGUAUCUACAGCUGCAGGAAGAGGUGGACACACACUGACAUGAGACUGGGCCCAGUUACAGUCCAAAUGUCAGAGCUCAUUAGCAACAUUGAAAUCCUGGUGGCCAGACAUAGCUGAAAAGCAGAUCUCAGCAAAAAUUAGAUUAACCCAUGGGCAGUGGGACUUUCCAGGUCUGAGGAAAUAUUUUAUCUUGACUCAUCUGGGCCAAACUCAUGGGCACAUCCCAUUUGCUUUGCUGACAGCCAGGUCUGCUCUGGCCUGGAGGGGCAGUCCACAAGUAGGAAUCACACCUGGGGAGGAGAAAGACACACAGGAAUGGUUGAGGAAUGAACAAGAAAUCUCUCUUUUCAGCAGGUUGGGGACCUAUUCUUUGGUGUCCAAAAGCAGAGCAGCCUCUUGUCCUUAAUUCCUCCCCAGUUCUCCCAUCACAGUAUGACCAGUAUGAAUGGCAGCAGUUGGAAGACUGAAAUAGCAGCUACCAUUGCUUAGGCCCCACUGAUUUGUCCUGUGGUUUUUCCAUGUCCUUUAAUCUCCAGUAAAUAAUCUCUCACUUCCUUGUGGUCUUUCUAAUUCCAUGCUCUGUGCUGGUGCUUCCUGUAAACAGCAGAGCUGGUGGCCCAUGCGUGGCCACCCCGUGUAAUUGAGGCUCUCCCCUGCUGUGCAAAGGGCAUGUGACAGGGCUGUUUGUCAGGCUGGAUGGGGCUGUGUCCAUGGGAUAAAUCAUGGAAAUGCCAGAUUCUCCUCUCCAUCGAGCCAGGAGAAGUCAGGGCUGGUUCUGUUGAGGCCAUUGGAUCAUACAGGUGUAAAACCAGCACGUGUCAGAACAUCAGACACUCAAUGAAUUGCACCAUUUUUUUCUGGCACCACGAUUUCUGGCUCCUAGAAAUCAUGAUUGAGCCAGUGUUUGAAAGAAAAACUGGGCUAAAUUAUAGACAAUGAGGUCCCUCCAGCACAUGUUGGCACUGGUACUUGGUCUCUGGUGCAGCAGCUAUGUUCCAUGUAGAAGUUGUGACCAGACCUUGCUCAGCCCUUAAUUGCCACAUCUGUGGUUUAAAAUUCUGGGUGGAGAACUAAAAUAAAAGGAAAAUAUUAAGUGUCUGUGCUGAAUGAAGGCCAUUCCUGACACUGAUCUUGUAGGUAAGAGGCCACCAGGCCCUCCAGGAAGAGCAAGAGAGGCUGAGAAGGCAUUUUUCUGAUCAAAAUGUCUUCAGCUGCUCUACAGGGGCAGGAGCUGUAAGAUUUAUUUAUCAGAUACCCAUCCUCAAACCUAAGAGCAUUUAUUUUUCCCAGUAAAUUUGUGUUAAACCAGUGUUGGAUCACAGAGGGUUGUGAUAAGAGCUGGGCUGCACUUUUUGGGUGGCACAGCUUUUCCUCCUAUCUGAAAUCUCCUCUCUCUGGGUUUCUGCUGACCAACUGAUCCCUCCACAGAUACCUGAGCAUCCAACAAACUAUUUCUGCAGGGACUUCUCUGCUUCCAACAGAUCUUGGGCUCUCACCUGUGCCUGUCCCGGCCAUCCUUCUGCAGGGGGCACCUGCACAUGCCUGGCUGGAAGAUGACAGUGUGAGAGUGUUUUUGGAGGUCCUGGUGCAGUCAGAUGGGUGCAAUCUUCCAGCCCUGACAACAUUUACAACUUGCAAUGUCAGUGCUGAGAUAUUUACACAACCAUGGGAGGGAUCCCUCAACCCUCUACACGUGCUCCUUUCCAGCACAGCUGUUUUCAGGAAUCUCCAGGUUUCAAUCCACUGGCUAUUUCAACAAAGUCCAAAUUUAUUUAUUUUCUUUUCAUAGCUCCCAGCAGCCAAGCUGUGACAGCCAAGGGAAUCCUGCUCAGUCUUUCAGCAUUAAUGUCUCAAUUAUCAAGCACUGCCUUCUUCCACAUGGGGAUUGAAUGUGUGUGUGUUGGAACUCCUUGAAGUAUUUUCUAGAGCUGAAGUGUAAGCAGGGACUCAGUUUGGAGUGGCAUUGGAGAUGCUCAAAAAAGUGCUAUGAGGUAAAGUCCAGCCUCAUUCAAUGCCACUUAAUGUCUGUCACCUUGUUUAGAAUGGGACAGCAGAGCUGAGUUUUUCCUUUAAUGCUAAUGGCCCAGCUGUAUCUCACAUUGGUGCUUUUAUCCCAGGAAUUGCAUGGAUCCUGCAGCUGGCUCAUGUCCUGAGUGCCCAUCCUACUCCUCAUGCUCUGCUGUUGGCUCAGGGAAUUCAGGAGAGCUGAUGCUGAUGCAAGGCAGCAGGUGGGAAGUUUGGGUUUCUGGCUGCUCACACAACUCCAGAAUGACCGAAUAUUUGCAGGAGCAAACCCAGAGCAUCCCAUGGAGAUCAGAUGGGGAACAUAAUUUCCUUGCCUCUUGGAGAACUGGGAAUUGCUGGGUUUUUUCAUUGUCACCUUUCCCUUGCAAAGUAGAUGGCACAUUGUCACCAGGCUGGGCUGUUUUGGCUGGAGCAGCGUUAUGCACAAUUAGACUAAAGCAAAACUCCUACGAGCUGUUUGAUGGUUCACUGAGCCCUCCCAAAAGUGUCACAGGUGGGGAUGAAACUCACCCAUCCUGUCUGCAUUUCUGCCCGUGCUCCUGGGUCUCCCUGGCCUCGGGCUGACCAUGUGCCUCCCCCACUCGGUUUGCUCUCACAAUGGGGAUGUGAGAAGCCUCCAGAGGAACAGAAAGGCUUUGCCCAGGCAGCAGUAGGAGCCCUUCAAACCUGCAGCCAAUAAUCGUUGCCUGGAGCUGGUCCCUUUGGCUCCAGGCACUGCUGAAUUUGCUGGUGGAGAAAACCACUGCUUUGGAUCAAAGCACUGUUAAAGGAGACUUCACAAAAGUGUAUAGCUCAUGGUCAAGAAGAGCUGCCAGACUCCUGCUUUCUCAGUAACUAAUAAAAGUGCUUUUUAACACAAUUAAUGUGAUGUCCUGCUAAAGACCGAGGGAAAUUGGAAUUGAGACAUUUGUAUUUUGACAGACUUUGUGGAAAACUUCUGUUCAGACUGGUAGGAAUGAAACCAAUAAAUUUCUGAAGAAACUUUCUGAAUUCAGCCUUCAAGAUAAUAGAUAGGCUGUUCUGACUGUGGAUAAAUAAACUCUGUUUUUAUAAGUGCCCAAAGACCUUCAGGAUGACGAAGUGGAACAUACUUCAAGUCUCCAAAGAUGGGAAGUGGCUUCUGAGUCAAAUGCCCUCCCAUGCCAGGGCUCGUAUUUUAGACUGAGAUCACUCUUUUGUGACUUGUUGACAGGUUUUUUGUUGUACUUUGAAAAAAAAAAAAAAAAAA